AGGAGCCAGGCUAACUGUGGUGGCUCCCAACUAUGUGGCUCCUGCCCUCAAGAAGUAUAGUCUAGUUGUGGAGGAAAGAUAUCAGCACAACUAACUGAGAUACAAGGAAGCAGUGAAGAGAAUCCCAAGAGAGAUACAUAGGAGUUUGAAGAAAAAUUUACACCUGAGAAAGCAGGAUUCUUUCAUAGGGCAGAAGUAGUUUGACCUGGACCUUAAAUUAGGUUUUGGGUUGGAUUUAAAGAAUCCACAUUGAAGAAGAGUAUUCCUAGUGGGAAGAAUAGCAUUAGAAAAUUUACAGAGAUACCAAAAUAUUAGAUGUUUUUUGGAACUCUGAAACGAUUUCAUGUUUCCAGAAUACCAAGAGUUGGGGGUGUGGGAGGGGAGGCAGGAGAAGGAAGAUUUCAUGAGAAAUGAGAUUGGGACCAGACUGUGGAGGAUUUUGAGGGCUGAGAAGUUUUACUUCAUUCUAGAAAUAAUGAGGAACGACUGAGCAUUUGUUUGCCUGCAGUUUGCUUCAGCCUCAUCCUGGAAUUCUGCCUACGUCAAAGGUUCCUUGUUUAAGGAUUACGAGGGGAGAAGUGGUUUGGAGUAUUCUGGCUACUGUCACACUUAUUUACAUAUUAAAAGCUGGUCUCUACCUUUUCCCAA
RNAcentral lists this long non-coding RNA (648 nucleotides) under Pan troglodytes (chimpanzee). RNAcentral describes it as "long non-coding RNA NONPTRT016049". The record is from RNAcentral. Lineage: Eukaryota; Metazoa; Chordata; Mammalia; Primates; Hominidae.